UAAGGAGGGUGCAAGCGUUACUCGGAAUCACUGGGCGUAAAGGGCGCGUAGGCGGCCUAGCAAGUCUGGUGUGAAAGCCCAGGGCUCAACCCUGGAAGGGCACUGGAAACUGUUAGGCUUGAGUUCCGGAGAGGAGGGGGGAAUUCCCGGUGUAGCGGUGAAAUGCGUAGAUAUCGGGAUGAAUACCGGUGGCGAAGGCGCCCCUCUGGAAGGAAACUGACGCUGAGGCGCGAAAGCGUGGGGAGCAAACAGG
Molecule: ribosomal RNA, 253 nt
Filed under: uncultured bacterium
Lineage: Bacteria
Description: partial 16S ribosomal RNA
Rfam family: Bacterial small subunit ribosomal RNA
Source: RNAcentral